Molecule: transfer RNA, 69 nt
Filed under: Paratemnopteryx couloniana
Lineage: Eukaryota; Metazoa; Arthropoda; Insecta; Blattodea; Blattellidae
Description: tRNA-Ser
Source: RNAcentral
AGUUAAAAACUAUAGAAAAGUAUUAUGUUUUGAAAGCAUAAUUAAGAGGUUAAAAUCCUCUAUUAACUU